GAUGAAGUAACUCAAUUGGUAGAGUAUUGGAAUCAUAAUCCAUUUGUUGCAGGUUCAAGUCCUGUUUUCAUCU
This 73-nucleotide transfer RNA is filed under the name Ignavibacteria bacterium. Its description in RNAcentral is "tRNA-Met". It matches the Rfam family "tRNA". Rfam says of the family: Transfer RNA (tRNA) molecules are approximately 80 nucleotides in length. Their secondary structure includes four short double-helical elements and three loops (D, anti-codon, and T loops). The record is from RNAcentral. Lineage: Bacteria; Pseudomonadati; Ignavibacteriota; Ignavibacteria.